RNAcentral lists this ribosomal RNA (253 nucleotides) under uncultured bacterium. RNAcentral's name for it is "partial 16S ribosomal RNA". It matches the Rfam family "Bacterial small subunit ribosomal RNA", at positions 524 to 776 of the family's 1533-position model. The record is from RNAcentral.
UACGGGGGGGGCAAGCGUUGUUCGGAUUUACUGGGCGUAAAGGGCUCGUAGGCGGCCAACUAAGUCGGAUGUGAAAUCCCCAGGCUUAACCUGGGAAUUGCAUCCGAUACUGGAUGGCUUGAAUCCGGGAGAGGGAUGCGGAAUUCCAGGUGUAGUGGUGAAAUGCGUAGAUAUCGGGAGGAACACCAGUGGCGAAGGCGACUGCCUGGCCUGUUCUUGACGCUGAGGCGCGAAAGCUAGGGGAGCAAACGGG